UCCAUUAUCUUCUAUUCCAUAUCCAAAGACCCCACUCGUUUCGAAGUAAUGUAUAAAACAAACAAACAAACAGGAGGUUUCCGGUCUCCCAUAGAAAUUAAGGGGUUUCACAUGCCUCUGUUCCCUCGUACACAAGAUAGAAACUUGACCAAGCUAAUUGAUACAACAUAGUUCGAAGACAAGAAUGAUGAAAAAUCGGAUUUGGAUUUGACAACGUUUUCCAUGGUUCACGCUUUCCAGCACCCAUUUUUCAUUGACUCGUUUCAAA
Molecule: long non-coding RNA, 268 nt
Filed under: Populus trichocarpa (black cottonwood)
Lineage: Eukaryota; Viridiplantae; Streptophyta; Magnoliopsida; Malpighiales; Salicaceae
Description: long non-coding RNA (PTRI_LNC004720)
Source: RNAcentral